GCGACGAAAACAGCCAAGACGACGACGAAGACGCCGACGAGGACAAAAGUGCGCGUAUAAUAUCCGCCGUGCCGGUCAGGUGUCCGUAAAGUCGUCUUCGUCAACGUUCUCGUGAAAACCACCACGAAACAUGGGCAACACCGAGAGCAACGUGGCCAGUGGCGUCAAGAAGCAGGUUGACACCUCGUCGUUGCAGAUAUACAACCUGGUCGACCUCAAAGGUUGUGGUCUUCUUGUAGAUUUGAUGAAGAAAGCUGUGCAGACGAAAAAUUUUACGGAGCUGGACAAUGCGAUCAAAACCCAAGUGGAGCCCAUGCUGUACAACAAGGGUGAAGGUAGAAUGAUACCGAUCGCCAAACUCGUAUUACUGAGAAAUCGUGAUCGUUCCCGAGCGAGAUGGCUACCGCCAUUAAAGAACAUGGAAGACGCCAAUGAUUACGACAUCGAAAAAGACAUUCCAACCAUCGAAGAACUGGAAAAACUGGGUAAGUGCACCGCGUCGUUGCGACUCAUUCCCCAAAUACUAUUUGAAAACUUUUCGCUCGCAGGAGAAGUGCAAUACCGGGAAGUGUGCUGGGAUCUGAAGGAAAGGGGUACCGUCGGUGAAACGGCGUUACAUCUAUGCUUACUCAACGCUACGUCUAUACACGCCGACUUGGCCAAAAGGCUAUUGCAUUUCUAUCCAAAACUUGUAAACGACAUUUACAUGAUUGAUGAGUAUUACGGAGAAAGCGUGUUGCACAUGGCCAUUGUCAACGAAGAUCCGGCCAUGGUGAAGGUGCUGAUGGACAGCGGGGCUGAUCUUAACGAACGGUGUUUCGGGAACUUUAUGAGUACGGAAGAUCAAAAGGCUUCACGAUCGGAUUCGCUGGACCACGAAUGGGUGAACCUGUGUCCCGACACCAAUUACGAAGGGUACGUGUAUUGGGGCGAAUAUCCACUGUCAUUUGCAGCGUGUCUCGGCCAGGAGGAGAGCUAUCGUUUGAUGUUGGCGAGAGGUGCCGACCCCAACAACCAAGACACCAACGGCAAUACGGUCUUGCACAUGCUCGUGAUUUACGAAAAAAUCUCGACGUUCGACAUGGCCUACGAGAUCGGGGCGGAGCUCAACAUUAGGAACGUGCAAAAUUUGACGCCACUCACGCUGGCCGCAAAACUGGCUCGGAUCCAAAUGUUCUUUCACAUACUCAAAAUCGAACGGGAAAUUUAUUGGCAGAUCGGCAGUAUAACUUGUGCCGCGUACCCCCUGACCCAAAUCGACACUAUCGACAACGACACGGGGCAGAUCAGCAGAAAUUCGGCACUCAACUUGGUUGUAUUUGGCGAAAGUCCAGAACACUUGGAAAUGAUGGACGGCGUGUUGGUGGAUCUGCUAAAUGCCAAAUGGAACGCUUUCGUGAAAUUCAGGUUCUAUCGGCAGUUCAUCCUGUUCGCGUUUUACUUUUCCAUAUCCAUGGUGUGCUUUGUUCUGCGUCCCGGACCACCUCCUACUGGUCUUAAACCACCACUAAUUAACUACACGUCCACAUCGACCACGGUGGCCACCACGCCGUUAGACUUCAUGGACAACGAGUCGAUGUUGCCCGACAACGUCAUAUACGACGAGAUGAUGAUUGCUGGCGGCGUUCCGAUCGAACUCGACACGGUGAUAACCACAGAAAUCAUGACAACAAACACAGCCACAGACACAGCCACCAACGAUAGCGGUAUCGAGACGCCACUGAUCUACGAAGACGGUGGUGGUGGUGGUGGUGGUAGAAGUGAUGGCACUGUAAGUUUGCAUGGUAAGAGUUCGGGUUCGGACAGAGGCAAACACAGGAGCACGUGGAAUCCGGCCAACCAUACGUUCAAGACCAACUACACAUACAACUACAACAAAUCAAAAAAAUUUUGGUGGAACAAAAGACAAAAGGUGUGCAGACUAAUGGCUGUACACUCAACUGACGAUUUAAUCAGAAUGGGAUCGGAAGUGGCAAUGUUUGUGGGAGCCUUCCUCUAUCUACUGGCUGCCGUCAGGGAAGCUGGAUUUUUGGGCACACAGAUGUUCAUUGAAAACUUGGCCAUAGCACCAGCGAGAGUGAUGUUUCUAUUUUCGUGCCUGCUCAUGAUGACCAUACCACCGCUGAGACUGACGUGCUAUGACAAAGCCGAAGACAUAAUAGCCGUAAUCAUCAUGUUGACCACUUGUCCAUACUUUUUGUUCUUCUGCAGGGGUUUCAAAACUGUCGGACCGUUCGUGGUGAUGAUCUAUAGGAUGGUCAUGGGAGACUUGCUGAGGUUCGUUUCCAUUUACAUGGUGUUCGUGAUGGGGUUCUCGCAAGCUUAUUAUGUGAUUUUCCUGUCUUACGACAACCCGCUUACGCCUGAGGGCAUUGAUGAUUCUGUGCUGAACCCAAUGCCGACACCGACCGAGUCAAUCAUGGCGAUGUUUCUGAUGUCCGUCAACACGUUCACAGACUACUAUACGGCGUUCGACAAGACUAGUCACACGUUGGUCGCAAAGUUUUCAUGGUAAUUGUGGCCAUACUGCUGGUGAACAUGUUGAUCGCCAUGAUGGGAAACACUUAUCAAAAGAUCGCCGAGACUCGGAACGAAUGGCAGAGACAAUGGGCUCGGAUUGUACUGGUGGUAGAG
This 2634-nucleotide unclassified non-coding RNA is filed under the name Rhopalosiphum maidis (corn leaf aphid). RNAcentral describes it as "transient receptor potential cation channel subfamily V member 5, transcript variant X1". The record is from RNAcentral. Lineage: Eukaryota; Metazoa; Arthropoda; Insecta; Hemiptera; Aphididae.